This is a long non-coding RNA of Capra hircus (goat), 126 nucleotides long. RefSeq lists it as uncharacterized. Lineage: Eukaryota; Metazoa; Chordata; Mammalia; Artiodactyla; Bovidae. The record is from RefSeq and is a predicted model, not a curated record. The transcript is spliced from 3 exons.
CAUUGGGGUACAUAGGAAUAGUGUUGAUAUAAGAUAGGGUCUCCUCCUCCUGCUGGGUCAAAGAAGGCUGUGUUUAGGUUUCGGUCUGUUAGUAGUAUUGUGAUGCCAGCUGCUAAUACAGGAAGU